UUGGGCGUAAGCGCGCGCAGGCGGUUCCUUAAGUCUGAUGUGAAAGCCCCCGGCUCAACCGGGGAGGGUCAUUGGAAACUGGGGAACUUGAGUGCAGAAGAGGAGAGCGGAAUUCCACGUGUAGCGGUGAAAUGCGUAGAGAUGUGGAGGAACACCAGUGGCGAAGGCGGCUCUCUGGUCUGUAACUGACGCUGAGGCGCGAAAGCGUGGGGAGCGAACAGGAUUAGAUACCCUGGUAGUCCACGCCGUAAACGAUGAGUGCUAAGUGUUAGAGGGUUUCCGCCCUUUAGUGCUGCAGCAAACGCAUUAAGCACUCCGCCUGGGGAGUACGGCCGCAAGGCUGAAACUCAAAGGAAUUGACGGGGGCCCGCACAAGCGGUGGAGCAUGUGGUUUAAUUCGAAGCAACGCGAAGAACCUUACCAGGUCUUGACAUCCUCUGACAACCCUAGAGAUAGGGCGUUCCCCUUCGGGGGACAGAGUGACAGGUGGUGCAUGGUUGUCGUCAGCUCGUGUCGUGAGAUGUUGGGUUAAGUCCCGCAACGAGCGCAACCCUUGAUCUUAGUUGCCAGCAUUAAGUUGGGCACUCUAAGGUGACUGCCGGUGACAAACCGGAGGAAGGUGGGGAUGA
RNAcentral lists this ribosomal RNA (629 nucleotides) under uncultured bacterium. RNAcentral's name for it is "bacterial SSU rRNA". It matches the Rfam family "Bacterial small subunit ribosomal RNA", at positions 554 to 1182 of the family's 1533-position model. The record is from RNAcentral.